Molecule: ribosomal RNA, 497 nt
Filed under: uncultured bacterium
Lineage: Bacteria
Description: partial 16S ribosomal RNA
Rfam family: Bacterial small subunit ribosomal RNA
Source: RNAcentral
GAUGAACGCUGGCGGCGUGCCUAAUACAUGCAAGUCGAGCGAACGGACGAGAAGCUUGCUUCUCUGAUGUUAGCGGCGGACGGGUGAGUAACACGUGGAUAACCUACCUAUAAGACUGGGAUAACUUCGGGAAACCGGAGCUCAUACCGGAUAAUAUUUUGAACCGCAUGGUUCAACAGUGAAAGACGGUCUUGCUGUCACUUAUAGAUGGAUCCGCGCUGCAUUAGCUAGUUGGUAAGGUAACGGCUUACCAAGGCAACGAUGCAUAGCCGACCUGAGAGGGCGAUCGGCCACACUGGAACUGAGACACGGUCCAGACUCCUACGGGAGGCAGCAGUAGGGAAUCUUGCGCAAAGGGCGAAAGCCUGACGCAGCAACGCCGCGUGCGUGAUGAAGGUCUUCGGAUCGUAAAACUCUGUUAUUAGGGAAGAAAAUAUGUGUAAGUAAAUGUGCAGAUCUUGACGGUACCGAAUGAGAAAGCAACGGCUAACUACGUG